GAUGAACGCUGGCGGCGUGCCUAAUACAUGCAAGUCGAGCGAACAGACGAGGAGCUUGCUCCUCUGACGUUAGCGGCGGACGGGUGAGUAACACGUGAAUAACCUACCUAUAAGACUGGUAUAACUUCGGGAAACCGGAGCUAAUACCGGAUAACAUGUUGAACCGCAUGGUUCAACAGUGAAAGACGGUCUUGCUGUCACUUAUAGAUGGAUCCGCGCCGCAUUAGCUAGUUGGUAAGGUAACGGCUUACCAAGGCAACGAUGCGUAGCCGACCUGAGAGGGUGAUCGGCCACACUGGAACUGAGACACGGUCCAGACUCCUACGGGAGGCAGCAGUAGGGAAUCUUCCGCAAUGGGCGAAAGCCUGACGGAGCAACGCCGCGUGAGUGAAGAAGGUCUUCGGAUCGUAAAAC
This 414-nucleotide ribosomal RNA is filed under the name uncultured bacterium. RNAcentral describes it as "bacterial SSU rRNA". It matches the Rfam family "Bacterial small subunit ribosomal RNA", at positions 28 to 431 of the family's 1533-position model. The record is from RNAcentral.